Molecule: long non-coding RNA, 981 nt
Filed under: Cyanistes caeruleus (blue tit)
Lineage: Eukaryota; Metazoa; Chordata; Aves; Passeriformes; Paridae
Description: lncRNA (ENSCCEG00000006346.1)
Source: RNAcentral
AUGACGUGGACACGAUGGGCCAUGGUCACCAUCGUCCUCCUGGCUCUCCAGAGAGCCCUGACAGUCCUGGUGUCUCUGGUGAUCCUGCUAUCCCUGGCAGCCCUGCUAGCCCCCAGGGCCCAGCCCCCCAUGGAGGAGGCAGCCGUGGCUGGAGGCAGUGGAGAUCCAGGUGCUGGAUCUGACUCUCCUGGAUCCUACGUGGCUUUUGAUUUGUUUUGGGAAGUGCCAGAUCAAGGCCCAAAUGUGAGUGAGGCAUCUCCUGCAGGUAUGAGAAUCCAGCCUUGCCUGUGUGUGCUGUGUCAUUCCCUGAGCCCCUCCCUGUGCUGCUGGGCAGUGAGGACAGGGAAAGCCACGUGUGAUGGGAGCUCCUCAGGGGGGUCUGGUAUCCCUGAGCUUUCCCAGCUCCUCAGCCAGACCAAGCAGCACCAGGGUCACUGCUCAGUCCUGGCUGGCUGCACAGCCCCAGAGGUGAUUCCAGGGAUUUCUGUGGUGGGAAUUUUUCGUUCUUUCCCUGAAGGUCUGAAGAAUGAAACUAGAUUGGGAAACAUUUCCUGGCCAUUAAUGGAACAGUCUGAAUUAAUCACUUUACUGAAGGAAACACUUCCAGUGCUGGAGCCUGAGCCUGUGGACAAGGAGACACCUCAGGAAGACCAUCAGGAAGAGCCAGUCCCUGAGGGGAACAGUGAGGCCCUUCAGCCAACAGGUGUGUUCAAGAGAUUCAGCAGUGCUGAGGACAAGAAGACAGACCCAAACACUGUGGAGGACAUGGAAAACACAGGCACAGUUGAUGCUAAAAUCACCUGGAGUGUUUUUAUAAGAGCCUUCCUCGUGUCUGUGGUCUGCAGCCUGAUUGUUCUGCUGCUUCUCAGGGUGGCCCCUGCAUGGGCAAAUGACAUAAAAAAGCGCCUCACAGCUUUGAGAGCCAAUUCUGAGCUCCUGGACAAUGAGACUGAAGAAAAGGACUUAGUGGUAGAAGUCUAA